CGAAGAGUAGCGGCCCGGGGCGGGGGCUGGAGCGCGGGCGCCACGAGUCCCAGCACUGCCCGCCGCGCUGCCGGCGCCCCAGGCUGGAGGAGGAUGCCGGACCCGCAGGGAAUUCAUUCCUGUCCCAGCCCUGGCCGCCCUUCUGACGGAGGAGCGGCGGGCAAAACCCGCUGCCCCCCGAGCAGAAGCUGAGGGGAGACGCUAGGCAGCCUCGGGGCGACGGCGGCCAGUGGGCGCCGAGCGAGGAGCACGAAGAACCGGCUGCGGCCGGGCGAGGCGGCGGGAAGCGUUCGGAGCCGCUGCCGAAGCUUCCAGCAGAGCCCUCGAAGUCGUUCCGUUCCUUUCUUCUGUAAACACCUAAUUGCAAGCCCCCGUGGGCCAGGCAUGGGGUACCAGAGAUCAGUAAAGCGGAGUCUCUGCCCUCGGGACCCCGUGUGGCGAAUACAGUGUGGUAAAUGAAAUCACAAAUCGUGGGAAAUUGUGAAAGGAAUCACGUUCUGUACACACACGCGACAAACAGCUCAACACAUUUCACAUAUAUUUCAGUCCUCAUCUGUUCAGAAGCUACUAUUAAAAGCUACUAUUAUCCCACCUCACAGAGGAGGAAACCGAGGCUCAGUUGUGUAACUUCUUGCUCAGAGUCACACAGCUAAUAGUAAUACGGAAGCGGGGAUUCUUAAACUGCCUGAUUGACUCCAAAAUGGACUUUACUGCUUUCUACUGAUAAAAGAAUUUGAAAUGACACUCAGAGCUAACUCAGUCUUCUAGAACGCUGGAGCUGGGAGUCACUCUAGGGACAGCCCUUGUUCUGUAAACAAGGGAGCAACAGCCCUGACAGAGCCAACUGGCAGGUUGCAGUUGAAGGAUUUAGGCUGAGGACCAGACUGCAAUGCUAUCAUGGUGCUUCUUCAAGAGGUUCCCCAGGUCUUUGCUCCUCUAAGUGUGGUCUCUGGAUCAGCAGCAUCAAUGUCACCUGGGGGCUUGUUAGAACUACUGAAUCUCAGGACCCAUCCCAGAUAUGCUGAAUCAGAAUCUGCAUUUUUAAAAAUGCCCAGGCACUUCACGUGCUUAUUAAACUUUGCAAAACACUGCUCUAAGUGGCAGUCAACAUUCCUAAGUCCCCGGUCUUUGUAUUUGUACAGAUGAACUGCAACACACAUGUGUACAAUCAUCCCUUCUUAUGAGUUUUUUGAAAAUAGCUCCAACCAUCAUUUUUACACCAACAAAGAAGAAACCACCUUAACUUCAGAUCUGUGCCAUACCGCUCACCACCCAGCUCAACAGAUACAGUCCCUCUAGCUACCACAAACAUCGUUUCACAAAUUCUUCCCGUACUGGUUUUUAAGCUAGCACACCUGGAUAGGAGCUUCUUUUUAUGAAACUAUGUCUAUCAGAGGACAUUUAUAUAAUCCUUCAUAAAAAUGGAUCCAACAGGCCGGGCACAGUGGCUCACGCCUGUAAUCACAGCACUUUGGGAGGCCGAGGCAGGUGGAUUGCCUGAGGUCAGGAUUUUGAGAGCAGCCUGGCCGACGUGGUGAAACCCCAUCUCUACCAAAAAUACAAAAAUUAGCUGGGCGUGGUGGUGUGCGCCUGUAAUCCCAGCUACUCGGGAGGCUG
Molecule: long non-coding RNA, 1617 nt
Filed under: Homo sapiens (human)
Lineage: Eukaryota; Metazoa; Chordata; Mammalia; Primates; Hominidae
Description: HSALNT0361389
Source: RNAcentral